This 524-nucleotide ribosomal RNA is filed under the name uncultured bacterium. RNAcentral describes it as "partial 16S ribosomal RNA". It matches the Rfam family "Bacterial small subunit ribosomal RNA", at positions 28 to 523 of the family's 1533-position model. The record is from RNAcentral.
GACGAACGCUGGCGGCGUGCCUAAUACAUGCAAGUCGAGCGCAGGAAAUCAUCCGAACCCUUCGGGGGGACGUUGGUGGAAUGAGCGGCGGACGGGUGAGUAACACGUAAAGAACCUGCCCUCAGGUCUGGGAUAACCACGAGAAAUCGGGGCUAACACCGGAUGGGUCAUCGGACCGCAUGGUCCGAGGAUGAAAGGCGCUGCGGCGGCGCCUGGGGAUGGCUUUGGGGUGCAUUAGCUAGUUGGUGGGGUAAUGGCCCACCAAGGCGACGAUGCAUAGCCGACCUGAGAGGGUGAUCGGCCACACUGGGACUGAGACACGGCCCAGACUCCUACGGGAGGCAGCAGUAGGGAAUCUUCCACAAUGGACGAAAGUCUGAUGGAGCAACGCCGCGUGAACGAUGAAGGCCUUCGGGUCGUAAAGUUCUGUUGUAAGGGAAGAACAAGUGCCGCAGGCAAUGGCGGCACCUUGACGGUACCUUGCGAGAAAGCCACGGCUAACUACGUGCCAGCCGCCGCGGUAA